GAUGAACGCUGGCGGCGUGCCUAAUACAUGCAAGUCGAGCGAACAGACGAGGAGCUUGCUCCUCUGACGUUAGCCGCGGACGGGUGAGUAACACGUGGAUAACCUACCUAUAAGACUGGGAUCACUUCGGGAAACCGGAGCUAAUACCGGAUAAUAUAUUGAAGCGCAUGGUUCAAUAGUGAAAGACGGUGUUGCUGUCACGUAUAGAUGGAUCCGGGCCGCAUUAGCUAGUUGUUAAGGUAACGGCUUACCAAGGCGACGAUGCGUAGCCGACGUGAGAGAGUGAUAGCCCACAUGGGAAGGGGGACACGGACAAGACGCCUACGGGAGGCAGCAGACGCGAACGGUACGCAGCGGGGGGAAGCAUGACGGAGUGGCGCGGCGUGAGUGGUGGCGGUGCUCGGAGCGUAAAAAUCUGCUACUAGGGAAAAACAACUGUGUACGUAACUAUGCACGGAUUGACGGUAACUGAUAAGAAAGCAACGGCUAACUACGUG
RNAcentral lists this ribosomal RNA (497 nucleotides) under uncultured bacterium. RNAcentral's name for it is "partial 16S ribosomal RNA". It matches the Rfam family "Bacterial small subunit ribosomal RNA", at positions 28 to 507 of the family's 1533-position model. The record is from RNAcentral.